AGCCCUGAGGUGUAUAUCAUAACAGAUUGCAAAUCUGGAGAAGCAAAUUGACGUUUGCCGGGGCUU
RNAcentral lists this transfer RNA (66 nucleotides) under Brotula barbata (bearded brotula). RNAcentral describes it as "tRNA-Cys". The record is from RNAcentral. Lineage: Eukaryota; Metazoa; Chordata; Actinopteri; Ophidiiformes; Ophidiidae.